RNAcentral lists this long non-coding RNA (434 nucleotides) under Pan troglodytes (chimpanzee). RNAcentral's name for it is "long non-coding RNA NONPTRT000436". The record is from RNAcentral. Lineage: Eukaryota; Metazoa; Chordata; Mammalia; Primates; Hominidae.
AAACAACAUAAAGUUUUCCGUGUACAGGUUCUGUACAUAUUUUGUCAAAUUUAUACACACAUAGUUCUUAUUUUUUGAUACUACUGCAAAUGACUUUAUUUUUUAAACUGUGUUUAUAACUGUUUGUUGCAAGUAUACCAAGACAUAUAAUUGGUUUUGCAUAUUAAACUUGUAUUCUAUAACAUUACUAAAUUUGUUUAUUCUAGCACCUUUUUUUGGUACAUUCCCUAGGAUUCUUAUUGCUCUAUAGUUUCCUUUUCUUAUAAAUAUCUUUGUCUGGUUUUGAUACUAGGGCUUUAGUGGUGCUCCUAAGAAUACAUCAUCUUUAAUGGACAAAAUCUCCCAAACCCAACAGAAAUUAUUUUUUAAGACAUUAUAGCUCCCUACAGCCUCCUGCUUCAAUGAUCCUCCCACUUCAGCCUCCCGAUUACGUG